UGCAAGUCGAGCGGAUCUUUAGGAGCUUGCUCCUGAAGAUUAGCGGCGGACGGGUGAGUAACACGUGGGCAACCUGCCUGUAAGACUGGGAUAACUUCGGGAAACCGGAGCUAAUACCGGAUAAUUCCUUUCUUCACAUGAAGGAAGGCUGAAAGACGGCGUAAGCUGUCACUUAUAGAUGGGCCCGCGGCGCAUUAGCUAGUUGGUGAGGUAAUGGCUCACCAAGGCGACGAUGCGUAGCCGACCUGAGAGGGUGAUCGGCCACAUUGGGACUGAGACACGGCCCAAACUCCUACGGGAGGCAGCAGUAGGGAAUCUUCCGCAAUGGACGAAAGUCUGACGGAGCAACGCCGCGUGAGUGAUGAAGGUUUUCGGAUCGUAAAACUCUGUUGUUAGGGAAGAACAAGUAUCGGAGUGAUUGCCGGUACCUUGACGGUACCUAACCAGAAAGCCACGGCUAACUACGUGCCAGCAGCCGCGGUAAUACGUAGGUGGCAAGCGUUGUCCGGAAUUAUUGGGCGUAAAGCGCGCGCAGGCGGUCCUUUAAGUCUGAUGUGAAAUCUCGCGGCUCAACCGCGAGCGGUCAUUGGAAACUGGGGGACUUGAGUGCAGAAGAGGAAAGCGGAAUUCCACGUGUAGCGGUGAAAUGCGUAGAGAUGUGGAGGAACACCAGUGGCGAANGCGGCUUUCUGGUCUGUAACUGACGCUGAGGCGCGA
RNAcentral lists this ribosomal RNA (717 nucleotides) under uncultured bacterium. RNAcentral describes it as "bacterial SSU rRNA". It matches the Rfam family "Bacterial small subunit ribosomal RNA", at positions 56 to 756 of the family's 1533-position model. The record is from RNAcentral.